UGGCGGAGGCUACUGCUAUUGGGAUUCGACUAAGCCAUGCGAGUCAAGGUGUCUUCGGAUGCCGGCGUACGGCUCAGUAGCACGUAGGUAACCUACCCUCAGGACUGAGAUAACCCCGGGAAACUGGGGCUAAUAUUAGAUAGAUAAAAGGUACUGGAAUGUUCUUUUAUCCAAAGCUUUUGCGCCUGAGGAUGGGCCUGCGUCCGAUUAGGUUGUUGGUGGGGUAAUGGCCCACCAAGCCUGCGAUCGGUACGGGCAGUGAGAGCUGAAGCCCGGAGUUGGGGACUGAGACAAGGCCCCAGGCCCUACGGGGCGCAGCAGGCGCGAAACCUCUGCAAUGCGGGAAACCGUGACAGGGGGAUCCCAAGUGCUCAUGCAUUGCAUGGGCUGUUCUUUGGUCUAAGUAACCAGAGGAGUAAGGGCUGGGCAAGACCGGUGCCAGCCGCCGCGGUAAUACCGGCAGCUCAAGUGGUAGCCGCGAUUAUUGGGCCUAAAGCGUUCGUAGCCGGAUAAGUAAGUCUUUGGUUAAAUCCUGCAACUCAACUGUGGGAAAUCUAGGGAUACUGCUUGUCUUGAGACCGGGAGAGGUUAGAGGUACUCCUAGGGUAGGGGUGAAAUCCUGUAAUCCUAGGGGGACCACCUGUGGCGAAGGCGUCUAACUGGAACGGGUCUGACGGUGAGGGACGAAACCUAGGGGAGCGAGCCGGAUUAGAUACCCGGGUAGUCCUAGGCGUAAAUGAUGCGAGUUAAGUGUGGGGGCAUCUACGAGAUGGCCCUGUGCUGUAGGGUAGCCGUUAAACUCGCCGCCUGGGGAGUACGGUCGCAAGGCUGAAACUUAA
This 839-nucleotide ribosomal RNA is filed under the name uncultured archaeon. RNAcentral's name for it is "bacterial SSU rRNA". It matches the Rfam family "Archaeal small subunit ribosomal RNA", at positions 15 to 859 of the family's 1478-position model. The record is from RNAcentral.